Molecule: ribosomal RNA, 497 nt
Filed under: uncultured bacterium
Lineage: Bacteria
Description: partial 16S ribosomal RNA
Rfam family: Bacterial small subunit ribosomal RNA
Source: RNAcentral
GAUGAACGCUGGCGGCGUGCUUAAUACAUGCAAGUCGAGCGAACAGACGCGGCGCUUGCUCCUUUGACGUUAGGGGCGGGCGGGUGAUAAACACGUGUAUACCCUCCUUAUAUGACUGGUAAAUCUUCGGGAAACCGGAGCAAAUCCCGGAUAAUCUAUUGAACCGCAUGGUUCAAUAGUAAAAGACGGUUUUGGUGUAUCUUAUAGAUGGUUCUCCGCCGGAUUGGCUAGUUGGUAAGGUAACGGGCUACCGAGGCAAGCAGGCGUAGCCGACCUGAGAGGGUGGUAGGCCACACUGGAACUGGGACACGCUCCAUACUCCUACGGGAGGCAGCAGACGGGAAUCUUCCGCAAUGGUCGAGAGCCUUACGGAGCAACGCGGCGUGAGAGAUGAAGGUGUUCGGUUCGUAAUGCUGUGUUAUUAGGGAAGAACAGAUGUGGAAGUAGCCAUGCAGGGCUUGACGGUAAUUGAUAAGGAAGCCCCGGCUAACUACGUG